AGUGAACGCUGGCGGCAUGCCUAACACAUGCAAGUCGAACGGCAGCACGGGCAGCGCCCUCUCUUGCAGUUGGCGACGGGCGGGUGAGUCAUACGUACGUGCCCAUCAUUUUUGGCUAGGACGACGACGGACGGAUUGAUACGCCAUCCGAGCAUACGACGAACGGGGGGGAUCUUCGGACCUCGCGCGCUUGGCUAGUACGAUGACGGAUUAGCUAGUUGGUGGGGUAAAGGGCUACCAAGGCGACGAUCCGUAGCUGGUCUGAGAGGCUGACCAGCCACACUGGAACUGAGACACGGUCCAGACUCCUACGGGAGGCAGCAGUGGGGAAUAUUGGACAAUGGGCGAAAGCCUGAUCCAGCAAUGCCGCGUGAGUGAUGAAGGCCUUCGGGUUGUAAAGCACUUUUGUUGGGAAAGAAAAGGAGUGUGUUAAUACCACGGUGUGAUGACGGUACCCAAAGAAUAAGCACCGGCUAACUACGUG
Molecule: ribosomal RNA, 484 nt
Filed under: uncultured bacterium
Lineage: Bacteria
Description: partial 16S ribosomal RNA
Rfam family: Bacterial small subunit ribosomal RNA
Source: RNAcentral